GACAGAGGUGCCGAGCGUUAGGCGGAAUCACUGGGCUUAAAGCGUGUGUAGGCGGGUCGUUAAGUACCUUGUGAAAUCCCACGGCUUAACCGUGGAACUGCUCGGUAUACUGGCGAUCUUGAGACACCUAGGGGCGAGCGGAACAGGCGGUGGAGCGGUGAAAUGCGUAGAUAUCGCCUGGAACGCCGACGGUGAAAACAGCUCGCUGGGGGUGUUCUGACGCUGAGACACGAAAGCCAGGGGAGCGAACGGG
This 253-nucleotide ribosomal RNA is filed under the name uncultured bacterium. Its description in RNAcentral is "partial 16S ribosomal RNA". It matches the Rfam family "Bacterial small subunit ribosomal RNA", at positions 524 to 776 of the family's 1533-position model. The record is from RNAcentral.